GGGAUCCUGAGGAAGAGGAGGCUCAUGAAGAAGAAUUCUGAGGAGAGAGAAUCACUGCUCUGAGUUUCCUUGUUCAGGAUGUGCUGAUGAACGCAGCAGGAGGUGUGAAUCCAGGGCAGCCAGAAGACGAGGUGCAACCAGACCAGAGUAAUUUAAAAGUAUCCAGUGGACUGCCAGACACAAAAAUGAGACCUGCACAGCAUACCUGAGUGGAUGAAACAGGGCAGGAAAACAUACUGAAGGACAGAGAAGGAAGCAGUACUCCUUUCAAUUAAUGUAUAAUUUCCCUACAUAUUACCAAAAAUUAAAGCUGAAGAAACAUUUUUGAACAAAGCUGUGAAGCUCACUCAUACAGAAUUGCAGACUCAGAAGUCUUCCAAACUGUUAGUUCCAAACAGAGAACUUCAGGAAGCUGCUUCCCUGGAGAAUACUCUGGAUACCUGGACAUGGGCAUGAAACCUUACAGAGGAGUGAAGGGCUGUGAAUCAGAGGUGUAAUCAUCUGAAAGAUCCAGGCAAGUUUGAGUCAGUAAUAGGGACAGAGCGAGAGAGAGCCAUCUUGUGGAAGAUCCCUUCACUAUCGUGCAGUUUUGGGUGCCAGGCACUCCAGAAGCUAAUUCUGGAGACCUUAUUUUUGCAACGAGAGACCUCAAUCACAAGUUCCAGCCUGAGAUGUGCAAAAUGGUUGUAAUGAAGCUGCAAACCAUGUGAAAGCAGUGACAAAAUCCUUUGUGUAGCAGAGAGGGGCUCCAGCUUCAAGCAGAAGAAAGAGAGCAGAGGGCAUCUUUCUGAUAAGAGCGGGUGAUGUGGGUCUAGGAAGGUCUGAGCUCUUGAUAAAGUGAAAAUGAAAGUGAUGCCUGAUGUUCCAGCUUCCCCUCCUGAGUUAAGGGGAUGAGCUACACUUUUCAACCCCUGUAUGAGUAUCCAAAAUUGCAGGUGGAUUUAGGAAGAGAAUCAAACAAUUAUCUGAGGUAUGUCCAGGGAUGACAAGCUCUGAAAUCAGGAUACAUCCAAUGCUGCAGGCUGAGCAAGAUACUGUAGGAUGGAUUAAGAACUAUCAAAUGCUGUAAGAGAAAGAGCCCAAGUCACCUAAAGAUGAUGAGCCAAAUGCCAUGUCAGCCCGAGCUAUGGAAAUGCGCCGCUGGUUGGGGAGCACACCCACUCACAUGGAGCACACCCUCCACAGGACGGCCUUUUCUGAGGACCAGAAGAUACGAGGAGAGAAGAAGCAGUCUGCUACCUGAGAUGAUGUACCCAAAGAUAAGACUUUUUUACUCUUCUGUAAUGUAAAUAUUAACUGGGGUGGAGUGGCUGUGUUGCCAAAGUGCCCAUUUUAGUGACUGUGUGCUUUCUUCUUUUUGGCCACCUUUAUGGAAAAUGGAGCUGUAAGAGGGCAGUGGACAGCUGCACAUGAUGAGAGAGAUCAUGGAGGGCAGGUUGAGACCAAGAAGGAAAUCAUUAGGAGCAUUUCAUACAGUGCUAUUGGAUGUUCUGGUAUGGGAGGUGAUUUUGGGAGAAUGAUGGAAGUCUCAGCCACUGUAAAUGUGUUUCAUGCAGUCUUGAGUAAAAAAAUGUGGAGCAGAACUCCUCUGAUUUUGUAGUUCAAAAUGACAGAGGGUAUUUCCACUUGUUCCCUGCAAGGGUGCCUUUUCUAGACUAGAAACAAUUAUUCAUGUACUUUCUUCCAAAGAGGAGUCUGGUCUUUUCUAAAAUCUGUGGUAUUUUGUGGUGUUUAUCCACAGUAACUCCAAGAUACAUCAGUGAAUUUGAAACAGUCUCAGAGACAGUACCUUGGUUUUGACUGCAGAUGUGUAUUACUGCUUCCUACUGCCUGAAUCCCUUCAAGCACAGUGAAAUUCUCAGCACAAUAAAAA
This is a long non-coding RNA of Hirundo rustica (Barn swallow), 1873 nucleotides long. RefSeq lists it as uncharacterized. The record is from RefSeq and is a predicted model, not a curated record. The transcript has 9 exons. Lineage: Eukaryota; Metazoa; Chordata; Aves; Passeriformes; Hirundinidae.